CGUCCCUGCUGAGAUGAUCUCCACACAGCUGCGAGUUUUCCUGAGACAUUGUCUCAAAGCAGCUUUACGGAAAUAUCAACGAGGUAUACAGAUAUUAAAGGUGCGAAUUUAUCCCAACUGAGCAAGCUACUGAGUGGCGACGGUGGCAAGGAAAAACUCCCUAAGAUGUUUUAAGAGGAAGAAACCUUGAGAGGAACCGGACUCAGAAGACAACCCAUCCUCAUCUUGUCAUCUGAUUGUGAGACAACUUCACCCCAAAGACUCUUUUCAGAGUCACAGCACUGAGCAUCUUCGGUUUUUCUCAUGUGGGAUUAUAAACCACUGCAUAGCAUGACAGUCAGCGGUUUAACAGUAUGGAGGCCAGCCAAGACCAACUGGGAUGUUUUGUUCAUGAUUCUUGUUGCCAAUAUUUUCAUGAUCUCUGCUGUGAUUUGUUGUUAUGAUUUAAGUUAUCUUUUUUUUUUCUUUAAAUGUUGUAUCACAAUAAAAAAAUAAAUAAAUAAAAUGUUAUUGAUAGUGACAGUGAAUUUAUUUAUAUAUAUAUA
This is a long non-coding RNA of Ictalurus punctatus (channel catfish), 545 nucleotides long. RefSeq lists it as uncharacterized. The record is from RefSeq and is a predicted model, not a curated record. The transcript is spliced from 4 exons. NCBI's taxonomy places the organism in Eukaryota, Metazoa, Chordata, Actinopteri, Siluriformes, Ictaluridae.